UCGCCCGCUACAACAAGAAGCCCACCAUCACCUCCAGGGAGAUCCAGACCUCCGUACGCCUCGUCCUCCCUGGGGAGCUCGCCAAGCACGCCGUCUCCGAGGGCACCAAGGCCGUCACCAAGUUUACCUCCUCUUAGAUCGCGUCGCCUGUAUCUAGUAGCAAAUGUAGUUCCUUGCUGUUGGCUUAGUGCUUGUCUGUGGACUCUGGUUAUCUGCAAGUAAUAUUAGUCCUACUGUUGGAUGAAAAUUGCUGAAUCAUUGCAAAUGGUUUGUUGGCUCGUUGGCCACCUGCAAGAAGUGAGUUAUGUCCGCUGGUCUAUUGGCCAAUGAAGAUUUCGGAAACAAUGUUGUGUUGCUGGUUCUAUUUACUGAUUUCGGCGGUGAUUUACUUAAUGCCUAACAUGUUCUAAUUUUUAUUCAAUCUCAGACAUGAGAUUCUGCUUACAAUUCCUGCC
Molecule: long non-coding RNA, 455 nt
Filed under: Triticum aestivum (bread wheat)
Lineage: Eukaryota; Viridiplantae; Streptophyta; Magnoliopsida; Poales; Poaceae
Description: long non-coding RNA (TAES_LNC020970)
Source: RNAcentral